RNAcentral lists this ribosomal RNA (253 nucleotides) under uncultured bacterium. RNAcentral's name for it is "partial 16S ribosomal RNA". It matches the Rfam family "Bacterial small subunit ribosomal RNA", at positions 524 to 776 of the family's 1533-position model. The record is from RNAcentral.
UACGGAGGGAGCUAGCGUUGUUCGGAAUUACUGGGCGUAAAGCGCACGUAGGCGGCUUUGUAAGUUAGAGGUGAAAGCCCGGGGCUCAACCCCGGAAUUGCCUUUAAGACUGCAUCGCUUGAAUCCGGGAGAGGUGAGUGGAAUUCCGAGUGUAGAGGUGAAAUUCGUAGAUAUUCGGAAGAACACCAGUGGCGAAGGCGACUCUUUGGCCUGUAACUGACGCUGAGGCACGAAAGCGUGGGGAGCAAACAGG